GCAUAACGCGAAGAACCUUACCUACCCUUGACAUGUCAGAGAUCCCUGAGAGAUUGGGGAGUGCCGCAAGGAAUCUGAACACAGGUGCUGCAUGGCUGUCGUCAGCUCGUGUCGUGAGAUGUUGGGUUAAGUCCCGCAACGAGCGCAACCCUUGUCGUUAAUUGCCAUCAUUUGGUUGGGCACUUUAACGAGACUGCCGGUGACAAACCGGAGGAAGGUGGGGAUGACGUCAAGUCCUCAUGGCCCUUAUGGGUAGGGCUUCACACGUCAUACAAUGGUCGGUACAGAGGGUUGCGAAGCCGCGAGGUGGAGCCAAUCCCAGAAAGCCGAUCGUAGUCCGGAUUGGAGGCUGCAACUCGCCUCCAUGAAGUCGGAAUCGCUAGUAAUCGCGGAUCAGCAUGUCGCGGUGAAUACGUUCCCGGGUCUUGUACACACCG
RNAcentral lists this ribosomal RNA (437 nucleotides) under uncultured bacterium. RNAcentral's name for it is "bacterial SSU rRNA". It matches the Rfam family "Bacterial small subunit ribosomal RNA", at positions 954 to 1392 of the family's 1533-position model. The record is from RNAcentral.